RNAcentral lists this ribosomal RNA (852 nucleotides) under Triticum aestivum (bread wheat). RNAcentral's name for it is "partial small subunit ribosomal RNA". The record is from RNAcentral. Lineage: Eukaryota; Viridiplantae; Streptophyta; Magnoliopsida; Poales; Poaceae.
AUGACCGACCGCGGCAAGGACGCGGGCAUGGUCAUGGUGGCUUUCCGUGGCACGCAGGUGUUCAGCACGCAGGACUGGUCGACGGACGUGAACCUGUCGUGGUUGCGCCUAGGCGGCAUGGGCCACGUCCACGCCGGCUUCCUCAAGGCGCUCGGCCUCCAGGAGGAGGACGGCGAGGACGCCGCGCGCGCCUUCCCCAGGGACGCCCCCGCCGUCGUCCCCGCGGGGAAGGUCGUCGCCUACUACGAGCUCCGGAGGGUGCUUCGCGAGCUGCUUGCGGAGCACCCGAGGGCCCGCGUCGUCGUCACGGGCCACAGCCUCGGGGGCGCGCUUGCCGUCCUCUUCCCGGCCGUGCUGGCGCUGCACGGGGAGGGGGACAUCCUCGGCAGGCUCGGGGCCGUGCACACCUACGGGCAGCCGCGCGUCGGGGACGAGGCGUUCGUCGACUUCUUCCAAGCCAAGGUGGCGGCGUCCUACUGGCGCGUGGUGUACAGGUACGACGUUGUGCCGCGGGUGCCGUUCGACGCGCCGCCGGUGGCAGGAUUCAGCCACGGUGGGACGUGUGUGUACUACGACGGGUGGUACGACGGGCGGGUGCUCGGCGGGGAGGAGGUGCCGAACCCGAAUUACAUCGGCCUGCGGCACGCGCCAUCCAUGUAUCGCAACGCGCUGGGCGACCUGCUGAAAGCCAUGUUCCUAUGGGUCAAGGCCGGGGGUGAGUACCAUGAGGGCGCCGUGUCCCUGCUCUACCGCGGCGCCAUCGGCAUGCUCGUCCCCGGCGUUGCGUCACACAGCCCACGCGACUACGUCAACGCCAUCCGCCUCGGCCGCAUUGGCACCGCCGCCGGUUAA